Lolium rigidum is the source of this 514-nucleotide long non-coding RNA. RefSeq lists it as uncharacterized. The record is from RefSeq and is a predicted model, not a curated record. Lineage: Eukaryota; Viridiplantae; Streptophyta; Magnoliopsida; Poales; Poaceae. The transcript has 3 exons.
ACUGGGCUGAUGUGUUGUGCAUGGAUAUUUUCACCGUUGAUGCAUCUUUCAGGUUAAUAAGAUAGUUAAUGUUGUACUGAAUCGAGGUUUGACUUGCUUUUUUUUAAAUAGUCAUUCUUUCAUAUGAUGAAGAAAUAUUUGGGAAUAUCAUUUAUUUAUGGACUUCUUUACCAUCAACUAUUUUCUCUCCGAGUUAUCAAACCUCCACUGCAUUGAAUGGGUAUAGCCUAUACAUAUGGUUAAUUGGUGAAUUUUAUGUGAAGUGCAAUAUUGUAACUUCAGUGCUUUCUGUUCAGUUAAGCUUGGUUGCUACUUUAAGUUCUGCUCACUUGUAUGCAAGAUGUAAACGUUGUGCUAAUGUGGCUCAGAGGUUUUUGAAAUUGAGGAGGAUUUUUGGCAUGCAAGAGUUUACAACCAAUCAGGAACUAAGAAAUAAUUCAAGAAGCCAUUAAGAGCUCGAAUGGAGACUCAAAGAUGGAUGGAAAAGGAGACGGAAGGAAUGGAGACUCAAAGA